ACACCCUCAAGCACUGCUUGGUGUUGGGCGUCUGUCCCGCCUUCGCGCGUGGACUCGCCCCAAAGUCAUUGGCAGCGGUCUCAGCACCUCAACGCGCAGUACAAUGCGUUCAUUGAAGUGUCGUGGGCGCGACCAUAAGCUAUUUACCGU
This 150-nucleotide unclassified non-coding RNA is filed under the name uncultured Phialemonium. Its description in RNAcentral is "sequence contains ITS2". The record is from RNAcentral. Lineage: Eukaryota; Fungi; Ascomycota.